UACAAGAAACCGUGUACCGGUACAAGGGCACCCGAACAGCAGGGUUAGUUUGAAAAAUAGAAAAGUCGAGGGGCUCUUUUGGAUAUUGUUACAAUAGAGUGUUUUAACCCCUCUCUAAGCCAUUCUCUCUCACUCUCUCACUCUCUCUCCCUCUCAUUUAGCUCUCUCUCUCUCUAACCAUGAGAAGAAGAAAGAAGGAGAAGAAGAAAGAAGGAGAGAAAGAAAGAGAAGAAGAAGGAGAAAGGAAAGAGAAGGUUAAGGAGAAGAAGAAGAAGCUCUUCCUCCUCCUCAUU
RNAcentral lists this long non-coding RNA (293 nucleotides) under Ananas comosus (pineapple). RNAcentral describes it as "long non-coding RNA (ACOM_LNC007231)". Lineage: Eukaryota; Viridiplantae; Streptophyta; Magnoliopsida; Poales; Bromeliaceae. The record is from RNAcentral.